This 406-nucleotide ribosomal RNA is filed under the name uncultured bacterium. RNAcentral's name for it is "partial 16S ribosomal RNA". It matches the Rfam family "Bacterial small subunit ribosomal RNA", at positions 30 to 526 of the family's 1533-position model. The record is from RNAcentral.
AUUGAACGCUGGCGGCAGGCCUAACACAUGCAAGUCGAACGAGUGGCGUACGGGUGAGUAAUGUCUGUGAAACUGCCCGAUGGAGGGGGAUAACUACUGGAAACUGUAGCUAAUUCCGUCUACCAUCGGAUGUGCCCAGAUGGGAUUAGCUUGUAGUGGGGGUAACGGCUCACCUAGGCGACGAUCCGUAGCUGGUCUGAGAGGAUGACCAGCCACACUGGAACGGAGACACGGUCCAGACUCCUACGGGAGGCAGCAGUGGGGAAUAUUGGACAAUGGGCGAAAGCCUGAUGCAGCCAUGCCGCGUGUAUGAAGAAGGCCUUCGGAUUGUAAAGUACUUUAAGCGGGGAGGCGUUACCCGCAGAAGAAGCACCGGCUAACUCCGUGCCAGCAGCCGCGGUAAUAC